Molecule: ribosomal RNA, 446 nt
Filed under: uncultured bacterium
Lineage: Bacteria
Description: bacterial SSU rRNA
Rfam family: Bacterial small subunit ribosomal RNA
Source: RNAcentral
GCCAGACUCCUACGGGAGGCAGCAGUGGGGGAUAUUGCACAAUGGGGGAAACCCUGAUGCAGCGACGCCGCGUGAGUGAAGAAGUAUUUCGGUAUGUAAAGCUCUCUCAGCAGGGAAGAAAAUGACGGUACCUGACCAAGAAGCCCCGGCUAACUACGUGCCAGCAGCCGCGGUAAUACGUAGGGGGCAAGCGUUAUCCGGAUUUACUGGGUGUAAAGGGAGCGUAGACGGCUGAGCAAGUCAGAAGUGAAAGCCCGGGGCUCAACCCCGGGACUGCUUUUGAAACUGCGGAGCUGGAGUGCAGGAGAGGUAAGCGGAAUUCCUGGUGUAGCGGUGAAAUGCGUAGAUAUCAGGAGGAACACCAGUGGCGAAGGCGGCUUACUGGACUGUAACUGACGUUGAGGCUCGAAAGCGUGGGGAGCAAACAGGAUUAGAUACCCUCGUAA